UACGUAGGUGGCGAGCGUUGUCCGGAUUUACUGGGCGUAAAGGGAGCGUAGGCGGACUUUUAAGUGAGAUGUGAAAUACCCGGGCUCAACUUGGGUGCUGCAUUUCAAACUGGAAGUCUAGAGUGCAGGAGAGGAGAAUGGAAUUCCUAGUGUAGCGGUGAAAUGCGUAGAGAUUGGGAAGAACACCAGUGGCGAAGGCGAUUCUCUGGACUGUAACUGACGCUGAGGCUCGAAAGCGUGGGGAGCAAACAGGAUUAGAUACCCGGGUA
Molecule: ribosomal RNA, 269 nt
Filed under: uncultured prokaryote
Description: partial 16S ribosomal RNA
Rfam family: Bacterial small subunit ribosomal RNA
Source: RNAcentral